GCUGACGUGUGAGAUACUAGUAGUAGUAUGUACGAGUAGCAACCAUGAAGCGAUAAUGAGUAGACGACGGCGGCGAGGCCGUGGCCUGAAUCGCCGGACGUACAGACAAAAUACUACAAAAUCCGGUAACUUUCUCGGUGGGCAGCGUCGCAAGUCGCCGAGCCGCAGGAUUCAUGCUCCGCUGCUUUCGGCGACGAUGUUCUUCGCUCGAUGACUAACGAUUUUCAUUCAUGGGCGCCAAGCCAAUCUCGAUCGGUCGAAUGGGUUGGUGACGAGGUUUAUCAUUUGUUGGACGACGGACGAAACUAGUCGUCGGUCUUUCCAGGAUUCACUCAACGAGACGGUCAGGAAAUUAGGGUAGUGGAGUAUAAAGCCAGCCCGCAGAUACGGAUGUGGGAGGCGGCUGUCCAACGCCAUCCGCAUAUUUAAAAAAANACGGGAUGAAUUCCGUGUAAAGGCAACGGAUUUCAUACGAAUUGGACGAGCAGAUUUAUAUUUUGGACAUAUAUUAGUCUGCUUGUAAUGGAUAGUAUCAUAUACUAGUAUCACCACAUCCGUAAUGCAUAGUAUCAUAUGUUAGUAUCAUAGGGUAGCUCAUUUAUUGUAAUGUAAGACACAUAGUAGCACAUCAUUU
RNAcentral lists this long non-coding RNA (634 nucleotides) under Hordeum vulgare. RNAcentral's name for it is "long non-coding RNA (HVUL_LNC010530)". The record is from RNAcentral. Lineage: Eukaryota; Viridiplantae; Streptophyta; Magnoliopsida; Poales; Poaceae.